CCUACGGGAGGCAGCAGUGGGGAAUAUUGGACAAUGGGCGAAAGCCUGAUCCAGCCAUGCCGCGUGUGUGAAGAAGGUCUUCGGAUUGUAAAGCACUUUUGGUUGGGAGGAAGGGUUGUACGUUAAUACCGUGCAAUUUUGACGUUACCGACAGAAUAAGCACCGGCUAACUCUGUGCCAGCAGCCGCGGUAAUA
This 195-nucleotide ribosomal RNA is filed under the name uncultured bacterium. RNAcentral describes it as "partial 16S ribosomal RNA". It matches the Rfam family "Bacterial small subunit ribosomal RNA", at positions 338 to 525 of the family's 1533-position model. The record is from RNAcentral.